GGCACUUUGGCGGAGUGGUUAACGCGUAAGUUGCCGUCAAUAUGGUCUUCUAAUUCUCAAAUUUCUGACUUUAUACGCAGGAUGCCCUGCUAUUACCCUUCUGGGAAGCCAGGCAUUUCCCUCGGGAGCGUGAGUUCGAAUCUCACAGGUGUCG
This is a non-coding RNA of Aspergillus ustus, 154 nucleotides long. The record is from Rfam. NCBI's taxonomy places the organism in Eukaryota, Fungi, Ascomycota, Eurotiomycetes, Eurotiales, Aspergillaceae.